UACAGAGGUCUCGAGCGUUAGGCGGAAUCACUGGGCUUAAAGCGUGUGUAGGCGGAUCGUUAAGUACCUUGUGAAAUCCCACGGCUCACCCGUGGAACUGCUGGGUAUACUGGGGGUCUUGGGCCAUUCAGGGGCAACUGGAACAAGCGGUGGAGCGGUGAAAUGCGUAGAUAUCGCUUGGAACGCCGACGGUGAAAACAGGUUGCUGGGGAUGCGCCGACGCUGAGACACGAAAGCCAGGGGAGCAAACGGG
RNAcentral lists this ribosomal RNA (253 nucleotides) under uncultured bacterium. Its description in RNAcentral is "partial 16S ribosomal RNA". It matches the Rfam family "Bacterial small subunit ribosomal RNA", at positions 524 to 776 of the family's 1533-position model. The record is from RNAcentral.